UUGUUUUUUUAUUUGUUCUGGGGCGU
Molecule: non-coding RNA, 26 nt
Filed under: Mus musculus (house mouse)
Lineage: Eukaryota; Metazoa; Chordata; Mammalia; Rodentia; Muridae
Source: RNAcentral